UACGGAGGGGGCUAGCGUUGUUCGGAAUUACUGGGCGUAAAGCGCACGUAGGCGGCUUUGCAAGUCAGAGGUGAAAGCCCGGGGCUCAACCCCGGAAUUGCCUUUGAGACUGCAUCGCUAGAAUUGUGGAGAGGUAAGUGGAAUUCCGAGUGUAGAGGUGAAAUUCGUAGAUAUUCGGAAGAACACCAGUGGCGAAGGCGACUUACUGGACACAUAUUGACGCUGAGGUGCGAAAGCGUGGGAAGCAAACAGG
RNAcentral lists this ribosomal RNA (253 nucleotides) under uncultured bacterium. RNAcentral describes it as "partial 16S ribosomal RNA". It matches the Rfam family "Bacterial small subunit ribosomal RNA", at positions 524 to 776 of the family's 1533-position model. The record is from RNAcentral.